CCCAUGAAUGUGACCUCUAUCACUUCAAAGUUGCGUGCGCAGACAGUAUCAUCGGUAGAGUUAAACCCUCGCUGCCAGACGGCGAGGGUUUUCUUUUGG
Molecule: small RNA, 99 nt
Filed under: Enterobacter cloacae
Lineage: Bacteria; Pseudomonadati; Pseudomonadota; Gammaproteobacteria; Enterobacterales; Enterobacteriaceae
Description: Enterobacteria rnk leader
Rfam family: Enterobacteria rnk leader
Source: RNAcentral